RNAcentral lists this long non-coding RNA (2763 nucleotides) under Homo sapiens (human). RNAcentral describes it as "HSALNT0057309". Lineage: Eukaryota; Metazoa; Chordata; Mammalia; Primates; Hominidae. The record is from RNAcentral.
AACAUAGAUUAAUAUUAGGAAGAAAGAUAUCCAGCCAUUUGACAUUGUAGUAGUUUAUCCAGAAUUUAGCUGCAAAAUUCUAUGCAGCAUCACAGAGCAGAGUAUAGAAAGGUGAAGGUUGGAAGCUGAGAGAUUAAUAACUUAAAACUUGUCACAAUAGGGAUAAUAUGAUGUGUUUAGAAAUAAAGAAUAGAUAACUUAUGACAUGUAAUAUAUAAUAUACAUAAUGGCAGACACUCAGUGUGUGAAAAUCGUGCUACUGAUAAUAAUGAUGAUGAUGUUGGUGGUAAUAAACUGAACAUCCUGAUUCUUUGCCUGGAGAUUAUUAUAACCUUUAAAAAUAUUCAACCCUGACAUUAGAUGGUUCCCUCCUUCAGCACCAGCAUUAAUUUUCUUGAACUUUUUAUACGUUAUCUUGCUGUAAGUAACCAUCUGUGUUCUAACAUAUUUAAAUAAGAAAACUAGGGAGAAUUAAGAAUAUAUAAAACAUAUAAAUAAUAAAAUACUACCUAAUAAAGUCAGAGAGAGUUUGUGUCUUGCAGUUCUUUCGGCUGAAAUCCAUUUGUUAUUAUCCAUAAUAUAACUAGUCACAUUGUGUGGUGAUAAGUUGUAGUAUAGGAGCAUUCUAUAAUCUGCCAGUGAAGUCUAUUAAAUCUCAGUCUUAUAGUGGAUAUGUGUGCCAGGGCUGUGACAUUCACAAAUGUAUCUUUAUUCAUGUAGAUUUCUUCCCUCUGCCUGCUUCUUCUUCUGACUAAAGCAUUCUCAAUCUAUAUCCUUGCAGUCCCACACUUGUUGAUCAUUGCCAACCCCACCAGAUGAGACAGAAAAUUUGAAGGUGACUGGAACGGAGAAGAAUGUCCUUCCUCAGUUAUGACAGUGGACAAAACAUCCAGACAGAAAAUCAAUAUGGAAACAUGGAAUUUAAUCUACAUUCUAGAGCAAAAGGAACUAACAGACCUGUACAGAACAUCGCAUAUACCACAUGCAGAAUACACACUCUACUCAAAAAUCAAUAGAGGCUCAUAGACCGAGGACUGCCUUGUCUCAGAUGGGACUUUGGACCUGGACUUUUGGGUUAAUGCUGCAAUGAGGUAAGACUUUGGGGGACUCUUGGAAGGCAUGAUUGGCUUUGAAAUGUGAGGGCAUGAGAUUUGGGAGGGGCCAGAGGUAGAGUGAAAUGGUUUGGCUCUGUGUCCCCACCGAAAUUUCACCUUGAAUUGUAAUAAUCCCCACGUGUUGUGGGAGGGACUCAGUGGGAUGUAAUUGAAUCAUGGGGGUGGGUUUCUUUGUGCUGUUCUCAUGAUAGUGAAUAAGUCUAAAAAGGAGAGUUCCCCUGCAUAUGCUUUCUUGCCUGCUGUCAUGUAAGUCAUCACUUUGGUCUUCCUUGAUCUUCAGCCAUGAUUGUGAGGCCUCCCCAGUCGUGUAGAACUGUGAGUCCAUUAAACCUGUUUCCUUUAUAAAUUACCAGUCUCACAUAUGUCUUUAUUAGCAGUAUGAGAAAGGACUGAUACACUAACAAAUUGUUUGUUAAAGUUAUAAAAAUGACACUUUCACCAAUGAAUAUGAAACUUCCAUUUGUUACAAAUCAAUUCCACAAUUUGUUUUUAUAUCUGUGUGUGCGUGUGUGUGUGUGCACGUGUCCACAGUGUGUUUUUAAUGCCACACAUUAGGUUCCCUGGAAAAUGGACUCUAGGAUGUAGAUUUGUAGUCAGGCACUCAUAAAAUCUUACCUCCUUUAUCUCUAAAGUAGGUUAGAUAGGAGAGGUUUGGGAAUAAAGGGAAGUUGAACAGAUUUUCAAGUACCAUAAAGGCCUCAGCCAAUAUUACAAGGUUACUCUGCAGCUGGGAAGGCACUUCAUAAUACUAUCUGUCUGGGAUGAGGGUGCUGGACCUUUGUAACCUGGAGACUUUGGACAAACUGUAUCUCUUCAGCAAAAAGGAAGCCCCAGAUAUGGAUUCAUCUAUGAGAUCUUCAUCAAGCACAGUGUAGGAGAAGCAUCACGAUGGCACAUCAUAACAAUCAUAUUCCACAUCUUUAUUCCUAAAAUUGUUUCUCAAUUCAAGUGAUUUCAUAGAAAAAGUUCUAGGAUUAUCCUCCAAGAUUCUAUUUGCCACUUUUCUUAGAAAAACCUUGCAAAAGAAAUGUAAAAUGAACUAAAGUUUAUGCCAUUCCAACUGCGUUCAAGGCUAUAAAUGAUACUCCUAGUCUACCUCCUCUCUCACUCAUUCUAGAUUACAUUGACUUCUGGUGGCAGUCCCGAGUAUCUAUGUUGUUAUCUGUAGGUUGAUGAAGAUUCUCAUUUCUUAGGUAUCUAAUCCCAAAUCAUCAUGCUUUUCUUGGAUCAUAGCUACUGCACUUUUUCAUUUACCUUGACAAUUUGUCAAAGGUUUAUUGAAAGAUUUCUAAGUUAUUAUCUUGGUACCAUACUCUACCCCUUCCCAUUGAGUAACAUCAGCCUGACUUCACUCUAAUGACUGGAGUCAAUUUUCCAAGCUAGGAUUGAGACUCUACUCUUUCCCUGUCCUGGUCCCUUGGCAUCUAGUUGCUGAUUUGACUGGGUGGCAUUAUAACUUGAAAUUUAAACAGAACUUUGUUAUGCAUUAUAAUUGAAACAUUAUCCCUCUAAGAGUCUAGACUUCCAAACUCCAGAGUCUAAAGUUGUAGAUCCAGUAUUCAGUCUCAUGAAUAUGGCCAUAGCUCCUACAUAUAUUUCUAAGGUAGGUCCUGUAGAAGUAUUAUCUUCUUUUUCACAUUUACUAUAA